UGGUGUAGGCUUUUGCCAUGUGAAAGGAGCUUGGCGAAUAAGUGGUGGGUAAGACGGGUGCCAGCCGCCGCGGUAACACCCGCGCCACAAGUGGUGGUCGCGUUUAUUGGGCCUAAAGCAUUCGUAGCCGGUUUAGCAAAUCCUUUGUAAAACUGUUAACUUAAAUUUAACAACGUUCAAGGGAGACUACUUUACUCGAGAUCGGGAGGAGAUAGGGGUAUUCCAGGGGGAGUGGUAAAAUAUUAUAAUCCUUGGAAGACGACCCGUGGCGAAGGCGCCUAUCUAGAACGAGUCUGACGGUGAUGAAUGAAGGCUAGGGGAGCGAUCCGGAUUAGAUACCCGAGUAGUCCUAGCAGUAAACCCUGUGAGCUAUGUGGUGCAUAUUCUUAGUGAAUAUGCAGUGCCGUAGUGAAGACGUUAAGCUCACCGCCUGGGAAGUACGGCCGCAAGACUGAAACUUAAAGAAAUUGGCGGGGGAGCACUACAAGGGGUGCGGCGUGCGGUUUAAUUUAAUUCCACCCAGAACAUCUCACCAGGAACGACGGCAGGAUGAAGGUCAGAUUGAAGGUCUUACCUAACGAGCCGAGAGGAGGUGCAUGGCCA
Molecule: ribosomal RNA, 603 nt
Filed under: uncultured euryarchaeote
Lineage: Archaea; Methanobacteriati; Methanobacteriota
Description: bacterial SSU rRNA
Rfam family: Archaeal small subunit ribosomal RNA
Source: RNAcentral